RNAcentral lists this ribosomal RNA (913 nucleotides) under Serratia nematodiphila. RNAcentral describes it as "partial 23S ribosomal RNA". It matches the Rfam family "Bacterial large subunit ribosomal RNA", at positions 1911 to 2823 of the family's 2925-position model. Lineage: Bacteria; Pseudomonadati; Pseudomonadota; Gammaproteobacteria; Enterobacterales; Yersiniaceae. The record is from RNAcentral.
AUCGAAGCCCCAGUAAACGGCGGCCGUAACUAUAACGGUCCUAAGGUAGCGAAAUUCCUUGUCGGGUAAGUUCCGACCUGCACGAAUGGCGUAAUGAUGGCCAGGCUGUCUCCACCCGAGACUCAGUGAAAUUGAACUCGCUGUGAAGAUGCAGUGUACCCGCGGCAAGACGGAAAGACCCCGUGAACCUUUACUAUAGCUUGACACUGAACAUUGAGCCUUGAUGUGUAGGAUAGGUGGGAGGCUUUGAAGCGUGGACGCCAGUCUGCGUGGAGCCAUCCUUGAAAUACCACCCUUUAAUGUUUGAUGUUCUAACUCGGCCCCAUAAUCUGGGGUGAGGACAGUGUCUGGUGGGUAGUUUGACUGGGGCGGUCUCCUCCCAAAGAGUAACGGAGGAGCACGAAGGUUAGCUAAUCACGGUCGGACAUCGUGAGGUUAGUGCAAAGGCAUAAGCUAGCUUGACUGCGAGAGUGACGGCUCGAGCAGGUACGAAAGUAGGUCUUAGUGAUCCGGUGGUUCUGAAUGGAAGGGCCAUCGCUCAACGGAUAAAAGGUACUCCGGGGAUAACAGGCUGAUACCGCCCAAGAGUUCAUAUCGACGGCGGUGUUUGGCACCUCGAUGUCGGCUCAUCACAUCCUGGGGCUGAAGUAGGUCCCAAGGGUAUGGCUGUUCGCCAUUUAAAGUGGUACGCGAGCUGGGUUUAGAACGUCGUGAGACAGUUCGGUCCCUAUCUGCCGUGGGCGUUGGAAGAUUGAGAGGGGUUGCUCCUAGUACGAGAGGACCGGAGUGAACGCACCACUGGUGUUCGGGUUGUCAUGCCAAUGGCAUUGCCCGGUAGCUAAGUGCGGAAAAGAUAAGCGCUGAAAGCAUCUAAGCGCGAAACUUGCCUCAAGAUGAGUCUUCCCUGGGCCUU